UGCUACUUCUUUAACAGACAUUCUCUCUGAGCCUCUUUACUGUGUCGCCACCAUGCUAGAUGCUAGGUACAAGGACCGCUACUUCUUUAACAGGCAUUCUCUCUGAGCCUCUUUACUGUGUCGCCACCAUGCUAGAUGCUAGGUACAAGGACCACUACUUCUUUAACAGACAUUCUCUCUGAGCCUCUUUACUGUGUUGCCACCAUGCUAGAUGCUAGGUACAAGGACUGCUACUUCUUUAACAGGCAUUCUCUCUGAGCCUCUUUACUGUGUUGCAACCAUGCUAGAUGCUAUGUACAAGGACCGCUACAUCUUUAACAGGCAUUCUCUCUGAGCCUCUUUACUGUGUUGCCACCAUGCUAGAUGCUAGGUACAAGGACCGCUACUUCUUUAACAGGCAUUCUCUCUGAGCCUCUUUACUGUGUUGCCACCAUGCUAGAUGCUAGGUACAAGGACUGCUACUUCUUUAACAGGCAUUCUCUCUGAGCCUCUUUACUGUGUUGCCACCAUGCUAGAUGCUAGGUACAAGGACUGCUACUUCUUUAACAGGCAUUCUCUCUGAGCCUCUUUACUGUGUUGCCACCAUGCUAGAUGCUAUGUACAAGGACCGCUACUUCUUUAACAGGCAUUCUCUCUGAGCCUCUUUACUGUGUUGCCACCAUGCUAGAUGCUAGGUACAAGGACCGCUACUUCUUUAACAGGCAUUCUCUCUGAGCCUCUUUACUGUGUCGCCACCAUGCUAGAUGCUAGGUACAAGGACUGCUACUUCUUUAACAGGCAUUCUCUCUGAGCCUCUUUACUGUGUCGCCACCAUGCUAGAUGCUAGGUACAAGGACUGCUACUUCUUUAACAGGCAUUCUCUCUGAGCCUCUUUACUGUGUCGCCACCAUGCUAGAUGCUAGGUACAAGGACUGCUACUUCUUUAACAGGCAUUCUCUCUGAGCCUCUUUACUGUGUCGCCACCAUGCUAGAUGCUAGGUACAAGGACUGCUACUUCUUUAACAGGCAUUCUCUCUGAGCCUCUUUACUGUGUCGCCACCAUGCUAGAUGCUAGGUACAAGGACGGCUACUUCUUUAACAGGCAUUCUCUCUGAGCCUCUUUACUGUGUUGCCACCAUGCUAGAUGCUAGGUACAAGGACCGCUACUUCUUUAACAGGCAUUCUCUCUGAGCCUCUUUACUGUGUUGCCACCAUGCUAGAUGCUAGGUACAAGGACUGCUACUUCUUUAACAGGCAUUCUCUCUGAGCCUCUUUACUGUGUUGCCACCAUGCUAGAUGCUAGGUACAAGGACUGCUACUUCUUUAACAGGCAUUCUCUCUGAGCCUCUUUACUGUGUUGCCACCAUGCUAGAUGCUAGGUACAAGGACCGCUACUUCGAUGCAGACAAGAAACAGGGUUUAUGUGAAAUGUUACAUACACAGUUGGACAAGAUGGAAAUGGACACAGUGACCGUGUGCACAGAGGAAGAGGGGCUACAGACAGAGAUGAAACUUCACUGCUUGACAUGUAUGAUGAAAUCCUGGUUGAGAAUGAAACGACUGAACAAAUGAACAACGAAAUAGCAAGUAAGUGAAAGAAAUAGGUUCUGACUAUGUUUUACUGGUAAUGGGGAAGUUCUUCUGCCACUCAGCAAGGAAGAAGCCACUGCUCCAUAACCGUCAUUAAAAAAAACAGACUACAGUUUGCAGCUGCACAUGGGGACAAAGAUCGUACUUUUUGGAGAAAGGGCCUCUGGUCUGAUGAAACAAAAAUGGAACUGUUUGGGCCAUAAUGACCAUCGUUAUGUUUGGAGGAAAAAGGGAGAGCCUUGCAAGCCAAAGAACACCACCUCAACCGUGAGGCACGGGGGUGGCAGCAUCAUGUUGUGGGGGUGCUUUGCUGCAGGGGGGCCUGGUGCACUUCACAAAAUAGAUGGCAUCAUGAGGUAGGAAAAUUAUGUGAAAAUAUUGAAGCAACAUCUCAAGACAUCAGUCAGGAAGUGGGUCAAAUGGGUCUUCCAAAUGGACAAUGACCCCAAGCAUACUCCAAGGUUGUGGCAAAAUGGCUUAUGGACAACAAAGUCAAGGUAUUGGAGGGCCAUCAUAAAGCCCUGACCUCAAUCCUAUAGAAAAUGUGUGGGCAGAACUGAAAAAAAUGUGCUCGAGAAAGGAAGCCUUCAAAACCUGACUCAGUUACACCAGCUCUGUCAGGAGGAAUGGGCCAAAAUUCACCCAAUGUAUUGUGGGAAGUUUGUGGAAGGCUACCCAAAAUGUUUGACCCAAGUUAAACAAUUUAAAGGCAAUGCUACCAAAUACUAAUUGAGUGUAUGUAAACUUCUGACCCACUGGGAAUGUGAUGAAAGAAAUAAAAGCUGAAAUAAAUAAUUCUGUCUAUUAUUAGUCUGACAUUUCACAUUCUUAAAAAAAAGUGGUGAUUCUAACUGACCUAAAAGAGGGAAUUUUUUAUGAAGAUUAAAUGUCAGGAAUUGUGAAAAACGGAGUUUAAAUGUAUUUGGCUGGGGUGUAUGUCAACUUCCGACCAACUGUAUACCACUAUCUAUAUCAGCAUCUAUACUGCUAUCUAUACCAGCAUCUACAGUAUAUCACUAUAUAUACACCACAUAUACACCACUAUCUAUAGCUCAAUCUAUACCACUAUUUACAGUGGGGCAAAAAAGUAUUUAGUCAGCCACCAAUUGUGCAAGUUCUCCCACUUCAAAAGAUGAGAGAGGCCUGUAAUUUUCAUCAUAGGUACACUUCAACUAUGACAGACAAAAUGAGAAAAACAAAUCCAGAAAAUCACAUUGUAGGAUUUUUAAUGAAUUUAUUUGCACUAUCUAUCUAUACCACUAUCUAUCUGCACCACUGUCUACACCACUAUCUAUCUAUACCACUAUCUAUCUGUACCACUAUCUAUCUGUACCACUGUCUACACCACUAUCUAUCUAUACCACUAUCUAUCUGUACCACUAUCUAUCUGUACCACUGUCUACACCACUAUCUAUCUAUACCACUAUCUAUCUGCACCACUGUCUACACCACUAUCUAUCUAUACCACUAUCUAUCUGUACCACUAUCUAUCUGUACCACUGUCUACACCACUAUCUAUCUAUACCACUAUCUAUCUGUACCACUGUCUACAUCUCUAUCUAUCUAUACCACUAUCUAUCUGUACCACUGUCUACACCUCUAUCUAUCUAUACCACAUGGUGACAUCCUGGACUAGUCCAAAGAGCUGCCACUUUAAAGUCCCUUUGAAUGUCAGAAGAACUUGUAUCAAAAGACAAAUUAAUGUCCUGCACCCAGUAGAGUUGUUUGACAGGUAGAAAGGUAUCAUUUUCGGAGUAGACUAUCAUUGUAAAUAAGAAUUUGUUCUUAACUGACUUUGCCUAGUUAAAUGAAGGUUAAAUAAAUAAAAUACAACAAAAUUCAGAAUGAGAUGUCCUAACUGCUUUCAUACUCCCCAUAGGGCUGGGUGGAAGAUCUGUUGUGGAAGUACUAAUCCGUUCCCUGUAGAGCUUCUUUGAGGAAGAGCAUGAAGAGACAAAGAGAAGGCUACAGCCACAGGUGUCUUUCUGUUGAACACGAGUCAAAUCAAAAAUGUUCCAAGCUAAAUCAAGAUCAUUGCAUCCUCUGGUAGGCCACCAACCAACUAUUGUAUUUGUCGAGGCACAAACAUGAUUUGUAUACUAUCAGAAAGCCUUGCUCAGUCAGCAUAUAUCCCAUGUACUGAAUGUGUAGAUAAUCCACAGAGAUACAAUUGUAGCUGUGUGGAACUGUACAACAGCGUUAACAUCAGUUUCCAAUCAGACAACUGCUUUCAUACUCCCCAACAGCACUUUUCUGUUUAUACAUUUGAAAAGCCAAUGCAAAGACUUUGCCAUGAUGGAAUGUGCUCUUUCUUUCCUCUCUUUAGCUCAGCAGAGAUAAGAGAACAUCUGUAAUUAUGGGAAAGGCAUUUUUCUGCAUUUUAUUAUUCUCUAAAUCAGAUGCCUUGGCAGACCGACUGGGAGAGUGACAUACUUAAACUAGCUUUGUGGUUGUGUGUUUCACAAAAUCUCCACGGAGAAUAAAAGACAGAACGAGCUCCAGAUUUGGGUGACCUCCCUCCUGGCACGCAGAGACACUUUCAAAGACCAAACGAGCCCGGCAAUGCUUUCAGCGCCACAUUACACUCUCUACACAACUUCUGACAAAAACUAUGAAGGCGGUCUUGGAUCCGAGAGACUGAGAGUUUUUGCUGCGUGGGAAUGUUUCACCCAUUAGCUUGUUUUGUUGAAAGGGGUUUUGACCAAAUGUAGGACGAGGAGCAUGGAGGGUAUUCUAAAAUAACCUGCAACAAAUCUAUAGAAAUAUGAACAGGUCAGUAUUAUUCAUAUGCACAGUAGGUAGUGGUCUGUGAAUAAAGGAAAAGGUUCAGAGGAAUGACUCUGGUUUCAGCUUAGGAUCCCUCCGUCCGACUCCAUCCCUGACAUGUGAGUCACACUACAGUACAGGGGGGGGCGGUUUGUUUUCCUUCUCCCAGCCAAGCCUCUAUGUGUGGUGAUUUCAUAUUAUAACUGUGUCAACCAUUCUGUUUUGGAAUAGCUCACCUCUUUGUUCCUUUUUGAAAGAGCUUCACGGCAACGGACAUCUGCGUUCUUUCAUUGAAAAAGAAAAGUCCCUCAAAAAGUGAGAUGAGGCAAAACAAUACAGUGUCCCUGUGAAACACAUGCCACAUUCUGACCACCGGGGCCAUUAUAACACAGCCUCAGUAAUACAGUGUCCCUGUGAAACACAUGCCACAUUCUGACCACCGGGGCCAUUAUAACACAGCCUCAGUAAUACAGUGUCCCUGUGAAACACAUGCCACAUUCUGACCACCGGGGCCAUUAUAACACAGCCUCAGUAAUACAGUGUCCCUGUGAAACACAUGCCACAUUCUGACCACCGGGGCCAUUAUAACACAGCCUCAGUAAUACAGUGUCCCUGUGAAACACAUGCCACAUUCUGACCACCGGGGCCAUUAUAACACAGCCUCAGUAAUACAGUGUCCCUGUGAAACACAUGCCACAUUCUGACCACCGGGGCCAUUAUAACACAGCCUCAGUAAUACAGUGUCCCUGUGAAACACAUGCCACAUUCUGACCACCGAGCCAUUAUAACACAGCCUCAGUAAUACAGUGUCCCUGUGAAACACAUGCCACAUUCUGACCACCGGGGCCAUUAUAACACAGCCUCAGUAAUAGUGUCCCUGUGAAACACAUGCCACAUUCUGACCACCGGGGCCAUUAUAACACAGCCUCAGUAAUACAGUGUCCCUGUGAAACACAUGCCACAUUCUGACCACCGGGGCCAUUAUAACACAGCCUCAGUAAUACAGUGUCCCUGUGAAACACAUGCCACAUUCUGACCACCGGGGCCAUUAUAACACAGCCUCAGUAAUAGUGUCCCUGUGAAACACAUGCCACAUUCUGACCACCGGGGCCAUUAUAACACAGCCUCAGUAAUACAGUGUCCCUGUGAAACACAUGCCACAUUCUGACCACCGGGGCCAUUAUAACACAGCCUCAGUAAUACAGUGUCCCUGUGAAACACAUGCCACAUUCUGACCACCGGGGCCAUUAUAACACAGCCUCAGUAAUACAGUGUCCCUGUGAAACACAUGCCACAUUCUGACCACCGGGGCCAUUAUAACACAGCCUCAGUAAUACAGUGUCCCUGUGAAACACAUGCCACAUUCUGACCACCGAGCCAUUAUAACACAGCCUCAGUAAUACAGUGUCCCUGUGAAACACAUGCCACAUUCUGACCACCGGGGCCAUUAUAACACAGCCUCAGUAAUACAGUGUCCCUGUGAAACACAUGCCACAUUCUGACCACCGGGGCCAUUAUAACACAGCCUCAGUAAUAGUGUCCCUGUGAAACACAUGCCACAUUCUGACCACCGGGGCCAUUAUAACACAGCCUCAGUAAUACAGUGUCCCUGUGAAACACAUGCCACAUUCUGACCACCGGGGCCAUUAUAACACAGCCUCAGUAAUACAGUGUCCCUGUGAAACACAUGCCACAUUCUGACCACCGAGCCAUUAUAACACAGCCUCAGUAAUACAGUGUCCCUGUGAAACACAUGCCACAUUCUGACCACCGGGGCCAUUAUAACACAGCCUCAGUAAUACAGUGUCCCUGUGAAACACAUGCCACAUUCUGACCACCGAGCCAUUAUAACACAGCCUCAGUAAUACAGUGUCCCUGUGAACACAUGCCACAUUCUGACCACCGAGCCAUUAUAACA
Molecule: long non-coding RNA, 6253 nt
Organism: Oncorhynchus keta (chum salmon)
Lineage: Eukaryota; Metazoa; Chordata; Actinopteri; Salmoniformes; Salmonidae
Exons: 3
Source: RefSeq, a predicted model, not a curated record